Molecule: ribosomal RNA, 468 nt
Filed under: uncultured bacterium
Lineage: Bacteria
Description: partial 16S ribosomal RNA
Rfam family: Bacterial small subunit ribosomal RNA
Source: RNAcentral
GACGAACGCUGGCGGUGUGCUUAACACAUGCAAGUCGAACGGAAAGGCCCUGCUUUCGUGGGGUGCCGGAGUGGCGAUCGGGUGAGUAACACGUGAGUAACCUGCUCUUCACUUUGGGAUAACUUCAGGUAACUGGGGUUACUAUCGGAUAGCAGCCCCCGUUGCAUGGUGGGGGUUGGAACGUCUCGGCGGUCGCGGAUGGACGCGCGGCUUACCAGCUUGUUGGUGGGGUAGUGGCUUACCAACGCAUUGACCGGUAGCCGGCCUGAGAGGGUGACCGGCCACAUGGGUACUGAGAGACGGCCCAGAGUCGUACGGUGGACAGCAGUGGGGAAUAUUGCACAAUGAGCGGGAGCCUGAUGCGGCAGCGCCGCGGGCGGAAUGACGGCCUGCGGGUUGUGAACCGCAUUCGCCUGUUACGAAGCGUGAGUGACGGUAAUGAAUAAAGAAGCACCAGCUAACUUCGUG